Molecule: long non-coding RNA, 626 nt
Organism: Asparagus officinalis (garden asparagus)
Lineage: Eukaryota; Viridiplantae; Streptophyta; Magnoliopsida; Asparagales; Asparagaceae
Exons: 2
Source: RefSeq, a predicted model, not a curated record
UAUCUCAUAAGUCAUAACCCUAGAUCUGAUUCAUCUGAAACCGCCGAAACUCCCAUCUCCCUCAUCAUCUUCGCCGCAACUCCCUCGUCAUCUCCGCGCCUCCUCUACCUCCGCCGCCUCCAAUCACCGCCUCCAGCGCUCAGCGCCGCCAAACCCCCAGCCCGCAGCCUCCAGCUCUCCAUCUUCGACCCCCUGUCCAGAUCCGCCCGAACUCACCUCAGGCCGCCGCCUGACCGCCGCCGGCAGCCUCGAGAUCCAGCGCCCAGCCGCCUCUCCCCUGACGUCAAUGGUGUCCUCAACACUGAAGAGCGUUCGUUACCUGGAAUUCAAGAAGACUUGUGGUUAUCAACAGAGUCAACCUCUACCUUAGAUGGUGAAAGCUACAAAUUGGAAAAUCUUGAAGGAGACUUGUUUGAGAAUGAACGAGCUUCCAUCCACUUUUUUCUUAAUAUGUUCUUUUGGAAAGUUGUAAAACUUCUUUAUGUAUGAGUUAAGAUCUUGGUGUGUAGCAAAUUUCACUUUAAAAUACCUCUUUGUUUCCUAUGUAUGUGGUAAUGUGAUACUGACUUACUAGAUAAGUUGGAUUAUUGGAUAAGCUGGUAACUGGUGAUUGCUAUGUUGUUUUA